GACGAACGCUGGCGGCGUGCCUAACACAUGCAAGUUGAGCGACGAACCAGGGCUUGCCCUGGGGCAAAGCAGCGAACGGGUGAGUAACACGUGGGUAACCUACCCCGAUAACCGGGACAACCUGAGGAAACUCGGGCUAAUACCGGAUGUGCUCACUGGACUUCGGUUCAGUGCGUAAAGGAAGCUUCGGCCUCCGUAUCGGGAGGGGCCCGCGGCCCAUUAGUUUGUUGGUGAGGUAACGGCUCACCAAGACCGCGAUGGGUAGCUGGUCUGAGAGGACGAUCAGCCACACUGGGACUGAGACACGGCCCAGACUCCUACGGGAGGCAGCAGUGGGGAAUCUUGCGCAAUGCGCGAAAGCGUGACGCAGCAACGCCGCGUGGGGGAAGAAGGCCUUCGGGUUGUAAACCCCUUUCAGGAGGGACGAAGGUUCGGCGGUGAAUAGCCGUCCGGACUGACGGUACCUCCACAAGAAGCCCCGGCUAACUACGUG
RNAcentral lists this ribosomal RNA (493 nucleotides) under uncultured bacterium. Its description in RNAcentral is "partial 16S ribosomal RNA". It matches the Rfam family "Bacterial small subunit ribosomal RNA", at positions 28 to 507 of the family's 1533-position model. The record is from RNAcentral.